Molecule: non-coding RNA, 203 nt
Organism: Oryza glumipatula
Lineage: Eukaryota; Viridiplantae; Streptophyta; Magnoliopsida; Poales; Poaceae
Source: Rfam
CCUCCAUCCAGCCAUAAGUUUUCGUACCAAACUUUGAUCAUCUAUCUUAUUUAAAUUUUUUUAUAAUUAAUAUUUUUGUUGUUAUGAGAUAAUAAAACAUGAAUGGUACUUUAUACAUGAUUUAUGUUUUUAAUUUUUUUUCAAACUUUUUACAUAAGACGGAUGGUCAAAGUUGGGUAUGGAAAAUCAUACUUGCACUUAAA